Molecule: RNA transcript, 1058 nt
Organism: Mus caroli (Ryukyu mouse)
Lineage: Eukaryota; Metazoa; Chordata; Mammalia; Rodentia; Muridae
Gene name: ARL14 effector protein pseudogene
Source: RefSeq, a predicted model, not a curated record
AUGGAUCUGUGUUCAGUUGGAGUCCAGCUUUGUACCACACACGACUGCCAUAAAGCCUUUUAUACUCAAGACAUUGAAAGAGUUGUCAUCAAAAAUGACAUGUUUUCACUUCAGCUUAGAACUGGAAUGAUACUUUCUGGGAAUAAUACAAUUUUUCUCCAUCAUGUAAAAAUGUAUAUUGACAGAUUUGAAGAGUUGCAGAAGUUAUUUGUGACCCAUUUAACUUACACAAGAAGCUAGCUCAAAAGGAUCUGCAUGUAAUUGACUUAGAUGAUGUCACUUUUAUGAGCACAAAGUUUGGGAGACAAUUCGUACCUGAUUGAAAGCUUUGUCCAAAAUGUACCCAGAUUACCAAUGGAAGUGUGGAUGUUGAUUCAGAUGACUGCCAGAGAUGGAAACCUGAGUCAGAUGGAAGGACUGCUAAAGCUCUGAGGUCACUACAGUUUACAAACCCAGGAAAGCAAACUGAAUUUGCUUUGGAAAGUGGUAAAAGUGAGAAAAGAAAGCUCACCAAAAAUUCAUGCACUGCUUCCAACAGACAAAUUAUUCCAGCAAAGAGUACAGUGUAUGACUGCCAGGGCCUGCUGAUUUUCAGUGGCAUGAACCUCUGUGACUGCCUGGACGAGGACUGCUUGGGAUGUUUCUAUGCCUGCCCCACUUGUGGCUCUACCAAAUGUGGUGCCGAGUGCCACUGCAACUGCAAGUGGCUAUAUGAGCAGAGAGAGUUUGAAGGAGGAGAGAUAAUCCACAAUAAACAUGGUGGAAAAGCAUAUGGCCUGUUAUCUCCCUGUCACCCAUAUGAUAUUUUACAAAGAUGAUCAUCCAAAUAUUGACCAGCAAAGACAAAAAUGAGGCAAAGAAAUAAACAGUGACAUUUCUGGAAGUGAAGUUUGGAUCAGUCGUAAAUGGAAUUGUAGACAUCUCCACUAGUCCAGAGUGUUGAUUACCAUUGCUGUUCUGGAGACAGAUGUACAUCAGAGGAACCUGAUGAUGGAAACUUACCACAUUGUCAAGAGAAGAUCUGUCUGCAAACUUGGUGGAAGUUCCCAUGGUCCCCA